CAGUCGCCGCGGUAAUACGUAUGUCACAAGCGUUAUCCGGAUUUAUUGGGCGUAAAGCGCGUCUAGGUGGUUAUGUAAGUCAGAUGUGAAAAUGCAGGGCUCAACUCUGUAUUGCGUUGGAAACUGUGUAACUAGAGUACUGGAGAGGUAAGCGGAACUACAAGUGUAGAGGUGAAAUUCGUAGAUAUUUGUAGGAAUGUCGAUGGGGAAGCCAGCUUACUGGACAGAUACUGACGCUAAAGCGCGAAAGCGUGGGUAGCAAACAGGAUUAGAGACCCCAGUAGUCCCUGUCUCUUAUACA
Molecule: ribosomal RNA, 301 nt
Filed under: uncultured bacterium
Lineage: Bacteria
Description: partial 16S ribosomal RNA
Rfam family: Bacterial small subunit ribosomal RNA
Source: RNAcentral